This 8364-nucleotide long non-coding RNA is filed under the name Ananas comosus (pineapple). Its description in RNAcentral is "long non-coding RNA (ACOM_LNC022112)". Lineage: Eukaryota; Viridiplantae; Streptophyta; Magnoliopsida; Poales; Bromeliaceae. The record is from RNAcentral.
UGAGCAUCCAUCAUAUGUAACGGAUUAGGGAAGAGGGGAGAGGCCAUACGAAACGGAGAGAGGAGAGGGAACGACGCAGGAAGAGAGGAAAGAAAAUGCUCCAACAGAGAGAGGAGGUGGACUCGGCGGAGAGGAGAGAGAAAAUGGCGAAACGCUCCCUUUCGUGCGAAAAAACAGAGAGGAGAAAGGGGCGGUUCAGUUCAUUGGUUCAGAGAAGAGUCAUGUGGGUUCGGUUCGGUUCAUUUGAUUGAUGAGGGGAAGACAGGCGCUUCAGGUCGGUUUGGUUCGUUGGUAUGGUUUGGUUUAGAAAAACUGAAGAGGAAGAAGGGCGGUUUAAUUUCUUGGUUCAAAGAAGGGUUUUGAGGGGAGACAUGCCGUUCGAUUCGGUUUGAGAGAAAAGGGACGGUUCGGUUUCAGAGAGGGAACGAUGAGGAUGAAUUCGCUUUGAUUUUAUUUAGAGGUUUAGGGAUGUAAUGAGUGGUCCGGUUUAGAGAAUAAGCAAGUAAGAGAAAGAAGGAGCGGUUCGGUUCAGAAAGAUAGCUCGGUUCAAAAGUAGUAGUUCAGUUCAAUAGAGAGGCUGGUAAGGUUGAGUGGUUCAAUAGAGAGAAAAGUGGUUUAUUUUAAAGUGGAGUUAUGAGGAUGAAGGAUAAGAUGCCAUGUGGCAAAAAAUAUUGUGGCUUCAUAUAUGUUUAUAGAUAUAUAUAUAUAUAUGGCAGGGCUGCUGUGCUCUCAGGAGCACGGAGGCCUCCGUGCUCCUGAGCCAUUUUCGAUGAUGGAAUUUUCGAAUCGACGAUCGGCUCUGUUAGACUUGAUCUAGCGCAUUUGAAGUUUCUAGAAAAUAAUUUUUGCGAUUUUUCGAUAUCAUUUACCUAGUGAUCGAAAGGAUUCAAAAUCCAUAAUUUUUAAUGGUUGAUAUCUGCCGUUUUCAAGUUUAACGGUGUAGAAGUAUUCAAAUCAGAUGAAAUUUUGAUACAAAAUUCUUUAUACUAUCUACAACAAGCUCAAUAUUUCUAAUCAAAAAUUUCAGUGCUAUAUCACCACUUUUUAUAGGAUUUUUAUUUUUUAGCCGUUAAAAAUUAUUGAUUUUGAAUCCUUUCGAUUGCUAGGUAAAUGAUAUCGAAAAAUCGCAAAAAUUAUUUUCUAGAAACUUCAAAUACGUUAGAUCAAGUUUAACGGAGCCGAUCGUCGAUUCGGAAACUCCAUCAUCGAAAACGGCUCAGGAGCACGGAGGCCUCCGUGCUCCUGAGAGCACAGCAGCCCUGCUCAUAUAUAUAUAUAUAUAUAUAGAGUUGUGCUUCUAUACUAUCAAUAGUAUAGAAGCACAACUACUAUAGUGUUUUAAACCCUUGAUCCUUUCUCAAGAUUCGUGCACACAGGUGGGUGAAUUAAGUGGGAUGGCAACAUUUAACACCGUUAAAGGAGGAGAGAGAAACCCACUUAAAAACCUUACUCUCCCACUCUCUCUCUCUAUCUCUCUCUCUCUCAGGUUCCCCCCCAACCCAACCCAUCUCUCUCUCUCUUUCUUUCCCAUUUCUCCCAUUUCUCCCACAGGGCCUCAUCUCUGGCUCUUCUGAACUCACCCCGCUCCUUCCCCUCGCACCCAUCUGCCGGCUCACAACCCUAGCCGAGCGACACUGCCACCCGUCGGCGCCGCUCGUGGACGCUCCAACCCUAGCCACGCGACACUAUUCCGCGAAGCCCUCCAAACCCACCUGCGGACAUUGUCUGGACGCCGCUUCAACGUUGCUCCCUGACACCCUCCAAACCCGGGGACACCUCAUGGACCACAACAACAACAAUGACCAGGUUAUUUUAAUCCCUAGUUAGUUAAAAUAUUUUUUUCUUUAUAUUAAAUGGUUGAUAGAAAAUUAUUUAUUUCUUAAGUUAUAGAUUCAUAGUUGUUGAAUUAAUUACAAGUAUUUGUUUUUUUUCUUUAUGAUUUUUAUUGCAAGUAAUAAAUAGAAAAUUUGUUACAUUUUUUUUUGGGGGAUAAAAAUUUAUUAUCUAUACAUUUUCUCUUUAUGAUACUUGUUUAUGGCAGUAAAUAAAAAAAUUUUAAGAAUCAUAUGAGAUGGAUGAUGCUUAAUUUUAUAUUCCCUGUUUAUGAUUUUAAUGUUAUAGAUGGAUGAUGCUUUUCAAUCUGAAAAUAUUAGAAGAAACGGUGAGAAUAUGAAUUUAGAUGGUUUAUCUAUAUGUGGCCAAAGCAAUGCUCCAGAAAAUAUUAGUGAGAAUAUGAAUUCAGAUGAUUUUGAUGCCGAUUUAGAUAACCAUGAUGAACCAAACAGUUUGAUGCACGAUAGGGAUGCAAUGGAAGUUGUAAGUGAUGACCCCUAUAUUGGUAAAGAGUUUAACAGUGCUGAGGCAGCACGGACUUUUUAUAACUCAUAUGCAUUUCGACUCGGAUUUAGCAUAAGAAAGGCUAGUCAAUAUAAGGCAAGGAAACAAGAUGGAAUGAUGACAAGUAUGCUCUUGACUUGUUCAAAAGAGGGUCAAUCUAACGUCCGAGACUAUGACAAGCGUAGUAGUACAACUACACAAGGCCAAGUCACACCAACAAAAGAAUUUGCACACAAACGAUCAGGAUGUAAAGCCCUUAUGAGAGUAAAGAUGAUAAAAGGAGGUAAAUGGGUGGUUACAAGAUUUACAGAAGAGCAUAAUCAUGACUUAAUUGCAAGCCCAACAAAAACACGUUUUUUGCGUUCUCAUCGCUCUAUCUCCAAUGAGCAAAAACAAGUAAUACAACUGUUAAGAGAUCAAAAUAUUUCAACAAGUCAAAUUAUGUCUUACAUAGCAGCAAGAGAUGGGAGCUCACAAAAUAUCAAUUUUACUAUGAAAGAUUUAAGCAAUGAGAUUGUGUCAACAAAUAGGGGACUUGUUGGAGUUGAUGUUGCAAAUGCUCUCAAUUAUCUUCACGCAACUCAUGCCUCGGAUCCUUCAUUUUUUUACUCAAUUGAGGUUGACGAUAAUCAUAUGACAAAAAACAUAUUUUGGAUAGAUGGGAGAUCGAGAUUGGCAUACCAACUUUUUAAUGAUGUUGUGACAUUUGAUACAACUUAUAUGACAAACAAGUAUACAAUGCCAUUUGCUCCAUUUGUUGGUGUUAAUCAUCAUAGACAAUCAAUCUUUCUUGGAUGUGCCCUCUUAAGGGAUGAAACUGCCGAUACUUUUUGUUGGUUGUUUCAUACAUGGUUACAGGCAAUGUCGGGAGUGCAUCCAAAAGCAAUUAUUACAGACCAAGAUCCGGCAAUGAGAAAAGCAAUUGGACAAGUUUUUCCCACUCCUGUGCAUAGAUGUUGUCAAUGGCACGUAAUGAGAAAGGCAAGAGAACAUUUGGGAGUAUUAUAUAACAAAAUGGAAGGUUUCAAGAAUGAGCUAAAAUCAUGUAUUAAUUAUAGCUUGACAAUAGAAGAAUUUGAAACUAGAUGGAAUGAGAUGCUCGAUAAAUAUGACUUGAAUAGUAACAACCACCUUCAAUUAUUAUGGAAUACUCGGCAUCAAUGGGCUCCUGUAUUUUUUAGGGACACUUUUUUCGCCGAUAUGUCUACUUCACAACGGAGUGAGAAUGCAAAUGCUAUGUUGAAAAUGUUGGUGGAUUCGCAUACAUCAAUCUAUAGAUUUGUACAACAAUUUGACAAAAUAAUUCGAAGUCGAUACGAGAAAGAAGAAGAGGAGGAAUUCAAAACAACGGAUGGAGAGUCAUCUUUAUGGUCAUUAAAUCCCAUAGAGAAACAAGCACGCGAGAUCUAUACUAAAGUCAUAUUUUCAGAUUUUAAAAAGCACUUGAGAGAUGCUACAGGUUUUGGAGUUGUUGAAUUGGAGCAAUACAAGUUGUACCAAACAACCCUUUUGGAAAAUAUUUAUACAUUAAAACAAGGAUCAUGCUCAUAUAAAGUUGCAUCGAAGUAGAAACUGAAAAAAUUGUUGCAAUUGAAACAAAUUUGAAUUCACUGGUAUCUUAUGCCCCCACGCACUACGUGUGAUGCAACAUGUACGAAUGAACUUUAUUCCUACAAGUACAUUUUAAAGAGGUGGACCAAAAAUGCAAAAAAAAGGAAUGGAAGAUGGCAAAAUUAAAACUUUUACUAGUCAUUGUGGAUCUUCGAAUGGUACUGCACAUUGUAUGACUCGCUGAAUUUAAAGUCACAGUUUGUUAUGAAGGAUCAAGAAAUUGGAGGCAUAGGAGUUGGCUUGCCAUAAGAUUGAUGCAGCUAUUGAGGAGUUGAAGUCACUUAAUCAACCAAUGGGGGAAUAGGAAAGAAACUACGAAAGAAAAACAAGGUGAUUACCACGACGUUAUUUUAUCACAAGUCUACUCAUUAAGGACAACUAUGGAGGAAUGCAUUGUUAAAGAUCCACCUCAAUCUAAUUGCAAAGGUAAAAGAAAGCCUCAAAGAUAUAAGCCACCAGCUGAGAUGAAAGCCAAAAGUCUAGACUUGUGCAAAUUGCAAAAAAAAAGGACAUAAUAUUAGAACUUGUAAAGAGGUAAGCUAAAUUUUUUAACUCAUUUUUUACAUAUAUUAUUUAGUAGCUAAUUUCAAUAAUUUUGUUUUGAAACUAAUAUAAUUUUUUUAUGGUUCUAUAAUACAGGGGCUUACUGUUGCAGAUUGUCUAGAUGGUGAAUCAGUGAAGUCAUCCAGGACAAUAGUAGAGAUGCAUCAGAGGACUAAAAUUGAGACAAAUGUUCAAUGUGAAAUUAGUUGAUGUACUACAUGUUGUGUGGAAAUUAAAUUGUAAUUUUUCUUCAGUGGAUAUUUUGAUUUCUAAAUUCGGAUUCUAUUAGAGUGUAAUCUUGUCUUCUACUAGAUAUCUUUAUUUCCAAAUCAAUUGUAAUGUAGAAUGUUGAAUGUGGAUGAUUAAAUUACAGUGGUCACUCUUAAUUUGGAUUCCAUGUUAUUGACUCUUUAGAUUCCCCUCAUUCUUUGAAUUCUUUGAACAAUAUUUUAUGCAACUGUAGCACUGGGGCUUUCAUUACUAUGCAUCUAAUAGAGGAUCCGCGGUCGGGGAGAUGUUACACGGAUUUGGGGGAGCAAUAUCUUUACGCAACUAUACGAAUAAAUAAAAACACCAUAUAGAUUAUGUCAUAUAAAUUUAUUUAUAAAAUCAGAUUACAUCCAAAAUAACUCCAUCAGAUUAAAGGUAUUUAAAAUGAUUAAGUAUUACACAAUGCAUAAAACAAACUAGAAGAACUUAAAUAUUACACAGAGAAAAUUACAAUAAUUAUGAUAAUGAACAAUUUCUCUCUGCCUCUGUGACCCUUGUGGAGAGCUCAUCAAUUCGCGCCGUUAGAAUACCAAUUUGUUUAGCUGUUUCAUUCGAAUUUGAUAUAUAUGUUCAAACAGCCAUUCAUCUGAAUAUUUUGCCGGCGAUGCAGAACGUUGAAAAAACAUACUCCUUUCCACUUUUGAAGAGUUAGCGCUAUCUUCUUCAGAUAUAUCUUUGUCUCUCCUUAUAAUUUUAACAUCGCACCAUUGAAAAAAAUCGCAGUAAUUUUCAUUUUCUUUCUUAUAAUUAGGACACCCAUAAAAUGAUCUUCCACUACAAUUUGGUUGAGAGGAAACUCGUAAAACAGCGACUUCAUUGCAGUUGCAGCGAACAAUCCGCUUGUUGAUUGCGCUUCUCAUAUAAAAUGAUAAUAAUUACCUACAUGAAAAAUAAAUUUAGUUAGAAUAAAUUUAUUUUUAAGGAAGCAUACAAAUAUUGAUAAAUUUUUCUUUAAAAAUCAGAACAAAAUUAAAAAUUUUAGCACAAAUCUUGUACUUUUUUUUUACAUAAUUUUUUAAAAUAAAAUUAUAAAAAUAUUAGAAAAAAUAAAAGAAAAUAAUCAUUUUCUAUAAUUGUAAAAAAUUGCAUAUGCUUUUCAUUUUAUUUUUUAAAUAAUUUAAAAAAAUUUAAAAAAAUUCAGCUAAAAAUAGAAAUAAAUAUGUGGGAACACAAUAUUUGACCAAGUUUUGUCGAGGAGUGGUGUCGUUUGGAGGGCUUCGCGGAAUAGUGUCACGCGGCUAGGGUUGGAGCGUCCACGAGCGGCGCCGACGGGUGGCAGUGUCGCUCGGCUAGGGUUGUGAGCCGGCAGAUGGGUGCGAGGGGAAGGAGCGGGGUGAGUUCAGGAGAGCCAGAGAUGAGGCCCUGUGGGAGAAAUGGGAGAAAUGGGAAAGAAAGAGAGAGAGAGAGAUGGGUUGGGUUGGGGGGGAACCUGAGAGAGAGAGAGAGAGAUAGAGAGAGAGAGAGAGAGAGAGAGAGAGAGAGUCAGGUUUUUAAGUGGGUUUCUCUCUCCUCCUUUAACGGUGUUAAAUAUUGCCAUCCCACUUAAUUCACCCACCUGUGUGAACGAAUCUUGAAAAAGGAUCAAGGGUUUAAAACACUAUAGUAGUUGUGCUUCUAUACUAUUGAUAGUAUAGAAGCACAACUCUAUAUAUAUAUAUAUAUAUAUAUAUAUAUAUAUAAAGAAUUGAGCUCCUAUGCUUUUAAAAGUACCAAGUCAUUAGUGCUUGUAAGUUUUCGGCCCUUGGAUUAAAGGAUGUGCGGUUAGGAUGAUGUGGGCCCGCUAGGGUUGAGUGGGUGGUUGGUUUAAUAGUAUAAUCUAACGGGUAAAAAUGAUCAAAGGUAGAGAUCUAACGGUAAAAAAUUUACAAGCACCAAGUGCUUGAUACUUUUAAAAGCACCAUAGCCGGACUAUAUAUAUAUAUAUAUAUAUAUAUAUAUAUAUAUAGAGAGAGAGAGAGAGAGAGAGAGAGAGAGAGAGAGAGUCCGGCUACUAUACUUUUAUGAGUAUUGGCUCUCUUAUACUCAUAAGUUUUUAGCCUUUAGAUUUAUUCCAUUGAUCAUUUCCACCCGUUAGAUCAUACUAUUAAACCAACUACCCACUCAACCCUAUGGGACCACUAUCAUUCUAAGUGGGGACCACCUGUUGGCUUAAAUGGGCCAGCAUCCUGCCCUGUGGCGGGAGGCCAUGUGGGCCGAGUUAUGUUCGAAAUGGCGUGAGGCUGGGUUGGGCCGAGUCAUGUUCGAAGUGGCGUGAGGCCAGGUGGGCCGAGUCACAAUCGAGACACGUGGGCGCUGUUUCUGUACGCUUUAAGUGAAUUGGUUGCGUAUUUCUAACAGCUCGAGCUUUUGGGAUUAAUGGUUAGUGCCAACGAUCCGACAAGUGGUAUCAGAGCCAGAGGUCACGGGUUCGAUUCUUGCAUGCUGCAAAUGUGUGCAGGUACUGGAGGGGAGAUUGUUGGCUUAAAUGGGCCAGCAUCCUGCCCUGUGGCGGGAGGCCAUGUGGGCCGAGUUAUGUUCAAAAUAGCGUGAGGCUGGGUUGGGCCGAGUCAUGUUCGAAGUGGCGUGAGGCCAGGUGGGCCGAGUCACAAUCGAGACACGUGGGCGCUGUUUCUAUACGCUUUAAGUGAAUUGGUUGCGUAUUUCUAACAGCUCGAGCUUUUGGGAUUAAUGGUUAGCGCCAACGAUCCGACACCACCAUCAUCUUAAUCAUACAUCCCAUCAAUCAACGGUUAAAAAUUUAUGAGUAUAAGGAGGUCUAUACUCAUAAGAGUAUAGUAGCCCCAGCCUAUAUAUAUAUAUAUAUAUAUGGGGGAUAAUUGUCUAUAUACCCUUCAAAACUUCGAAAAUAUCUCAUUUACUCCUACUUUUUUUUUUAUUUCCAAUAUACCCCUCAUAUGUUCCUCCGUUAUUCCAAAAUACCAUUGUAGUUACCACUCGUUAAGUUAACUUGGAUUAAACGUGAGUUAAAUAUCUACUACAGUUAAAAAAAAUUAAAAUACCACUUUUGCCCUUAAUUUAAAGGCAAAUAAGAAAUGUUGGUGAUGAUAGAAGAGUAUAUUUAAAAAGACCAAAAAGCAAAAUACUUUUUGUGCCGCUAACUUAAGGGCAAAAACGAAAAGUCGGUGAUGGUAGAAGGAUAUAUAUGAAAGGGCAAAAUAGUAAUUUCAUAGAGAUAACAGAUUUCAUUAACAGAUUUUAACUCUAAGGUAUAUUAGAAAUAGGUAGGAAUGUAAAAAAGACAUUUUCAAUAGUAGCCUUCUAAGAGGGGUAAAUUAGAAAGUCGGAAACUUUUCAGGAGUAUAUAAGCAAUUACCUCUCUCUCUCUCUCCCUCUCUCUCUCUCUCUCUAUAUAUAUAUAGUCCCGCUACUAUACUAUCGAUAGUACCAAGCCCUUGGUACUAUUGAGUUUUCUACCGUUAGAUCUACCGUUUGAUCAUUUUCACUCGUUAGAUUAUACUAUUAAACCAACCACCCACUCAACCCUAGGGAACCACUAUCAUCCUAACCGCACAUCCUUUCAUCCAACGGCCGAAACCUCAAUAGUACCAAGGGCUUGAUACUAUUGAUAGUAUAAUAGCAUAAUUCUAUAUAUAUAUAUAUAUA